This 483-nucleotide ribosomal RNA is filed under the name uncultured bacterium. Its description in RNAcentral is "partial 16S ribosomal RNA". It matches the Rfam family "Bacterial small subunit ribosomal RNA", at positions 30 to 507 of the family's 1533-position model. The record is from RNAcentral.
AUUGAACGCUGGCGGCAGGCCUAACACAUGCAAGUCGAGCGGAUGAAGGGAGCUUGCUCCUGGAUUCAGCGGCGGACGGGUGAGUAAUGCCCGGGAUUUUCCUGGUCUUGGGGGAUUAAGGUCGGCAACGGGCGGCAAUUACUCCAUCCUCCCUGCGGCGGAAGGGGGGGGUUUUUGGGACUUACGCUAUUAGAUGAGCCUAGGUCGGAUUAGCUAGUUGGUGGGGUAAAGGCCUACCAAGGCGACGAUCCGUAACUGGGCUGAGAGGAUGAUCAGUCACACUGGAACUGAGACACGGUCCAGACUCCUACGGGAGGCAGCAGUGGGGAAUAUUGGACAAUGGGCGAAAGCCUGAUCCAGCCAUGCCGCGUGUGUGAAGAAGGUCUUCGGAUUGUAAAGCACUUUAAGUUGGGAGGAAGGGCAGUAAGUUAAUACCUUGCUGUUUUGACGUUACCAACAGAAUAAGCACCGGCUAACUUCGUG